RNAcentral lists this transfer RNA (87 nucleotides) under Vibrio parahaemolyticus. RNAcentral describes it as "tRNA-Leu". It matches the Rfam family "tRNA". Rfam says of the family: Transfer RNA (tRNA) molecules are approximately 80 nucleotides in length. Their secondary structure includes four short double-helical elements and three loops (D, anti-codon, and T loops). The record is from RNAcentral. Lineage: Bacteria; Pseudomonadati; Pseudomonadota; Gammaproteobacteria; Vibrionales; Vibrionaceae.
GCGGAAAUGGGCGGAUUGGUAGGACGCACCAGAUUUAGGUUCNUGGCGCCGCAAGGUGUGAGAGUUCAAGUCUCUCUUUCCGCACCA